RNAcentral lists this ribosomal RNA (468 nucleotides) under uncultured bacterium. Its description in RNAcentral is "partial 16S ribosomal RNA". It matches the Rfam family "Bacterial small subunit ribosomal RNA", at positions 28 to 507 of the family's 1533-position model. The record is from RNAcentral.
GACGAACGCUGGCGGCGUGCUUAACACAUGCAAGUCGAACGGAAAGGCCCUGCUUUUGUGGUGUGCUCGAGUGGCGAACGGGUGAGUAACACGUGAGUAACCUGCCCUUGACUUUGGGAUAAGUUCAGGAAACUGGGGCUAAGACCGGAUAGGAGAUCAUGCUGCAUGGUGGGGGUGGGAAAGUUUCGGCGGGUGGGGAUGGAUGCGCGGCUUAUCAGCUUGUUGGUGGGGGAGGGGCUUACCAAGGCUUUGACGGGUAGCCGGCCUGAGAGGGUGACCGGCCACAUUGGGACUGAGAUACGGCCCAGACUCCUACGGGAGGCAGCAGUGGGGAAUAUUGCCCAAUGGGCGGAAGCCUGAUGCAGCAACGCCGCGUGCGGGAUGACGGCCUUCGGGUUGUAAACCGCUUUCGCCCGUGACGACGCGUGAGUGACGGUAAUGGGUAAAGAAGCACCGGCUAACUACGUG